AAUACGAUAGGGUGCAAGCGUUGUCUGGAAUUAUUGGGCGUAAAGAGCUCGUAGGUCGUUUGACACGUCGAUUGUGAAAAUCUGAGGCUCAACCUCAGACCUGCAGUCGAUACGGUCAAACUAGAGUGUGGUAGGGGAGACUGGAAUUCCUGGUGUAGCGGUGGAAUGCGCAGAUAUCAGGAGGAACACCAAUGGCGAAGGCAGGUCUCUGGGCCAUAACUGACACUGAGGAGCGAAAGCGCGGGGAGCGAACAGGAUUAGAUACCCUGGUAGUCCGCGCCGUAAACGGUGGGCACUAGCUGUGGGUCCCUUCCACGGGAUCCGCGACGCAGCAAACGCAUUAAGUGCCCCGCCUGGGGAGUACGAUCGCAAGAUUAAAACUCAAAGGAAUUGACGGGGCCCCGCACAAGCAGCGGAGCAUGCGGCUUAAUUCGACGCAACGCGAAGAACCUUACCAAGGCUUGACAUAUAGCGAAAAGUGGCAGAGAUGUC
RNAcentral lists this ribosomal RNA (492 nucleotides) under uncultured Fodinicola sp. RNAcentral describes it as "bacterial SSU rRNA". It matches the Rfam family "Bacterial small subunit ribosomal RNA", at positions 522 to 1010 of the family's 1533-position model. Lineage: Bacteria; Bacillati; Actinomycetota; Actinomycetes; Mycobacteriales. The record is from RNAcentral.